Molecule: ribosomal RNA, 433 nt
Filed under: uncultured bacterium
Lineage: Bacteria
Description: partial 16S ribosomal RNA
Rfam family: Bacterial small subunit ribosomal RNA
Source: RNAcentral
AACGAACGCUGGCGGCAGGCCUAACACAUGCAAGUCGAGCGGACCUUUCGGGGUGAGCGGCGGACGGGUGAGUAACGCGUGGGAAUAUGCCCUUCUCUACGGAAUAGUCCUGGGAAACUGGGGGUAAUACCGUAUACGCCCUUUGGGGGAAAGAUUUAUCGGGGAAGGAUUAGCCCGCGUUGGAUUAGGUAGUUGGUGGGGUAAUGGCCUACCAAGCCGACGAUCCAUAGCUGGUUUGAGAGGAUGAUCAGCCACACUGGGACUGAGACACGGCCCAGACUCCUACGGGAGGCAGCAGUGGGGAAUCUUAGACAAUGGGGGCAACCCUGAUCGAGCCAUGCCGCGUGAGUGAUGAAGGCCUUAGGGUUGUAAAGCUCUUUAAGCUGGGAAGAUAAUGACGGUACCAGCAGAAGAAGCCCCGGCUAACUCCGUG